AAAGCUCCAAAAUUCUCUGCCUUUGGGCAGUUCUGCCUACCAGUUUCCAGACAAUCAGUUUCUGAAUUUGAUAUAAGCACAUACAUGCUUCCACUGCUUAUCAUUUUCCAUGAAGACUUCACUUGGACUAAAGAUAGAAAAGGACAAUUCAACCCUAAGCUGCGUAAUCAGUUGUUCCCAUUUAGCGUACAUGCCUCCUUUAUCAACAAGUCACAAAAUGUAUACUCCUAGGACAAUCUGUUUCUAUAUUGUUAACUAGUUAGGCUAUUUUAUCUUAUGAGACACACCCUUAAAAAAAAAAACGCACCAUCUGGUUUUCCAACAGGGGCCAAACUUGCACUAGACAGAUUUCAUUCGUGUGUGGCCACCCUGGUAAAAAUCCUUAUAGACUUAGGGAAGACACAAAUGUACUCUGUGGUUCUCAUAAGAAAGUUUCCUGUGGAGACUGUGGACAGCAUCACUACAUCACUUACAGCUGCCAUCUGUCAUAGAAAGCUACAUGGUAACCCAUAGUCCUAUUAGAAAAAGUUAACAUUCUUAAAUGAAUGGUAUGUUCUACCUCACGGUGGUAGGUGACAUAAUGCUAAUUCCUAAAAGGAUUGUGUGUCUUAUUCCCUGACAGUGAAUACUGUUAAAAAAAAAAAAAAAGUUUUUGAUGAAACAUAGGUAAGAAUGGAUUGUAGAAAUUCUACAUAAUGACUCUAUACUGCAGCAUCUUUUCUAAAUGAUUAUUCUGCCCUUACAAAAUAAUAAUUGACUUCCUUUUAAUAAACCUUAAUGUUAUACAACUACAUUUCCAGCAAAAGGAAUGCAGAUAUUUCCUUUAGUUCUGGUUUCACUGCACUAAAAAUCAUAGCAGAUGUUUGCUGAUUCUGUCACUUCAAAUAUAGGCUAAUGACCAAGGAAAUGUCUGGGGGUGGGGGGACAACAAAAAAAAACUUUGUAUUUAAGUUUCAGACAACUACAAGCACCUCAAACAAUGGAUUAUUACAAUGCUUGGUAUUCUGUCACAAUCUAGUUAUUGCAAAGGCAUAUGGAUAAAUUGUAAUGGACGAAGUCAAGAAAAACGAGGCACCUUAAUGAAUGUAAAAUUAAAAAGACCUGACAUUCAUCCCACUGACUUCUAAAAGGCUAAAUAUACCUCUGUAUAUUACAUUCUAAAAUAGUAUUGCCUACUAUGGUUGUGUCCUGGAUUCUACACUUAAUUUUAAGGAAAUGCAUAAACAAAACUGUGAAAUUUGCAAAGGGAAAAUCAUUUUCUCUACUUCAAUUCAUGGAAAGGCAAUGAAAAAGGUAGUAAAAUUUGUUGUAGCAACACAUGCCUAUGGAAUGAAUGUGAUCACUGUUAUCUUCGAGUCAUUCUGCCCACUGCACUGCAAAUUGUUACACCAUACUGUGUGUUUUAGACAAACACUAAUGUUUUUCCCAAAAAAAAAAAAAAAAAAAAAGGUACUUUCAUUCCACACACUGAACAUAUUUUCUGUUGUCCAAUUUAAUCUAUGUAUAGUUUAACUUACAGUGCUUGGAGGAGGCAACACCACAUGGUACCAGGUUAUCACAUUUUUAAAGGGACAUCACUCUUUCUUUAAAAGUACUUUAAAAAAUAUGCAAAAAUACGAAUGGAAGUUUUAACUAUAAUGCAUAUUUUAGAACGAGAAGCAUGUGUUUUCUUCCUUUAAAGUGCCAUACAGGGAAUGAAAUCUUGGAAACCAGAGCCACUUUGUUUAAAAUCCAAUGUAAAAGGACUGUUAUGGAAUGAAAAGUUUGCACAACUCCUUGUCUGCUACAUGCAACUUAGGCUACAGAGCACUAAGACUUGGGAGCUUUUCUGAAAUUUGAGUCCCCAUCCCAUAUUUAAUGAAAUUAACAUUUACAGGGUGCAUUUACAUACACUAUAAUACAGGAAUGAUGUCCCUUUGCCAGAAGAUAAAAUAGUACAUUUCCUUGCUAUUUCUUGGUUCCACCUUGAUAAUUUCUUAAGAUUGUAAAUUAUAUAGUACUCAGCUAAAAUAUUUCUUCAUAAAUAGUUACAAAACCUGCCAAAACACAAAGAGUGAAGAAUUUUUUGUUCAAAAAAAAAAGAAGACAUUUGUAUGUCACACAACACAAGAAACAAUGCUUAGAGACAUGUUAUUGUUUCCAGAAGAAAGUGGAUCAGUAAACUACUUAGCCGAAGACAAAAGACUACCUACCCUUCCCCAGGAUCACAGUGCACAAAAAGCAAAAUGUCAAACAACAGUACCUCAAAGCAAAAUAAAGAUCUGAGGAUGAAGCCAGCUCACUUGUAAUCCUGUUAAAGAAUGAGAGUCACCGUUUAGGUCCAAGUACUGGAAAACAUCUGCUAGCUCAGAAGGCUGUAUUUGUAGAAUCUGCUAAGAAUUCAACCAAGGAUGCCGAAGGCAUUCGCCAGCAGAGGCUCGUUUUUCUGGAACCAUUUCUAACAUGGGGAUCAGAAAAUCUGUAAACUGUGCAGCAUCUUCAUGGGGCCAACCAUACUUUUCCACAAGUACAUCAAAGAGGCUCCAGGGCUUCAGCUUGGUGAUGUGCCGCAGUUCACCUACAGGGGAAAAACACACCGAUGUCAAGAAAGCUCCAAGUAUGCAUUUCCCAUUGUUGGUCCACCAGGAUCUUUUCAAUAACACAGACAAUCUACUUGAUCAAUAAUUAAUACAACCACAAAGGCCAGCUUUCUCUGCUAAGUUAUCAUUGAAUACAUAUAUAAUUGUGUCCUAUUUCAAGUAACAGAACAGAUGUAAAUAGAGAAUAAUUUUAAAAUGGUUCAGGGGCUUGUUAACAUCAGUUUCACAUUUCUUUAAAUAAGGAGGGUGUGCUGAGCACAGCCAGAAUGUUUUCAUUUGCAAAGGCUGAGGGAGCCACUCUCAAACUCCAACUGAGAUUCUUUUGCAACUCGCCAACUAGCUUAGAAGGAAGAUAUACAAUAAACCCCUUGUAUCACUAUUUCUGCCUGUUAACACACAAAGAUAAAUGAGUCUUCUCCUCUAGAACAGCGCAGGUGUGGUAGAACUCCCCUGUGAUGAGAGAGAUGUUCUAGAUCUGUGCUAUCCAAUGUAGUUGUCACUAGCCACAUACGGCUACUGAGCACUUGAAAUGUGGCUAGUGUGACUGGCAUUUUACUUUUACUUAAUUUUAAUUUGUUUAAAUGUAAAUAGUCACAUGUAGCUACUGCAUUGGGCAUUGCAGCUUACCUAAAAGCCAACCCAAAUCAAAUACUGUGUCAGGUCCACACAUUUCUUAUAAAUCUGUAAACCUUGAAGUUAGCACUCUUCAAUGUGCUAGCUACAGUAUAGCAAGUGUGGGUUAGAAGCAUCCUUGACUGACGUAACUAAAUGGCUAACAACCUAGUAACGGGAGUUUCUCAUAACAGAAAACAACAACAACAACCAAACAAAGGUUAUUUUUAAGUCAAACUGCUAAAAGGUUAGAAUAACUUUCACUGAAUUAGGUCAUUUUCUCUGUCACAGGACAUCCCACCCCUGUCCACAGAGAGGACUCCUUUCAUGCCCCUCAGCAGCCCCUGCAGAUGGAGAUGAAGCACUGCACUGCACCCCACACCCAAAAAGCCCUUGAGCCAGAGCAAUCGCAGCCUCCUGCACCCCAAGAGCCUCCCUCUACGUGCCUGCAGGCCACAGACGGCUGAGCCGUUAAGGGCGGAGGCUCUCCACACCUGAGCUGCACUGCAUGCAAGGGGUGACUUCUGUCUCCCCUUUUGUCUGCUAAAAUUUUACCAACAAGCUGUGCAACGACUGCUAGCAUGAAGGGCAAGAGUGGGCUCUCGUCCGAGGAGUGGGGCCUCCAGUCCACGCACCCGCUGCAGCCCCAAGAGGAACACACGGGAAAUACAGUCCAGCACCACCACUUACACGAGUAAGUAAAAUAAGAUGAUAAACCAUUUUCAAAGUACUCCUUUACUAUUUAUUUCUAUUGUAAAGGUUGCUCCCAAACUUAAAGGUUUUUACCUUGACAAUUUUUUCUCUUAGGAAAAAAAAAAAAAAACAAGUAUGUUUCACUGAAGCCUAUUUUGCAGAUAAUUACACUGUCACAGCUUUUACCUUUUUAAACCGUUUCCAACCUGUUUUGAAGAAUGCUGAAUAUCACCUGGCCUUUCCUGCAACUGAAGCUGCCCAUCGCAGGGAGACUCACAGAGCUUCAGCCACGCCAGACCCUCUAGCACUAUGGCCCACCAAAGUUCAUCAUACAAAUACAUUCAUGUCAUGAAUUCACGAAGAUAUAAAAUGGAUCUAGAACAUUUUGGAAAUACUUCCUUCAUCCCCAG
Long non-coding RNA from Choloepus didactylus (southern two-toed sloth), 4294 nucleotides. RefSeq lists it as uncharacterized. The transcript is spliced from 3 exons. NCBI's taxonomy places the organism in Eukaryota, Metazoa, Chordata, Mammalia, Pilosa, Megalonychidae. The record is from RefSeq and is a predicted model, not a curated record.